Molecule: ribosomal RNA, 759 nt
Filed under: Alteromonas sp. PRLIST1
Lineage: Bacteria; Pseudomonadati; Pseudomonadota; Gammaproteobacteria; Alteromonadales; Alteromonadaceae
Description: bacterial SSU rRNA
Rfam family: Bacterial small subunit ribosomal RNA
Source: RNAcentral
GGAGAGUUUGAUCAUGGCUCAGAUUGAACGCUGGCGGCAGGCCUAACACAUGCAAGUCGAGCGGUAACAGAGAGUAGCUUGCUACUUUGCUGACGAGCGGCGGACGGGUGAGUAAUGCUUGGGAAUAUGCCUUUUGGUGGGGGACAAUAGUUGGAAACGACUGCUAAUACCGCAUGAUGUCUACGGACCAAAGUGGGGGACCUUCGGGCCUCACGCCAAAAGAUUAGCCCAAGUGGGAUUAGCUAGUUGGUAAGGUAAUGGCUUACCAAGGCGACGAUCCCUAGCUGGUUUGAGAGGAUGAUCAGCCACACUGGGACUGAGACACGGCCCAGACUCCUACGGGAGGCAGCAGUGGGGAAUAUUGCACAAUGGGCGCAAGCCUGAUGCAGCCAUGCCGCGUGUGUGAAGAAGGCCUUCGGGUUGUAAAGCACUUUCAGUAAGGAGGAAAGGUUAAGUUUUAAUAGAGCUUAGCUGUGACGUUACUUACAGAAGAAGCACCGGCUAACUCCGUGCCAGCAGCCGCGGUAAUACGGAGGGUGCGAGCGUUAAUCGGAAUUACUGGGCGUAAAGCGUACGCAGGCGGUUUGUUAAGCGAGAUGUGAAAGCCCCGGGCUCAACCUGGGAACUGCAUUAAUCACUAGUGCGGCCGCCUGCAGGUCGACCAUAUGGGAGAGCUCCCAACGCGUGGAUGCAUAGCUUGAGUAUUCUAUAGUGUCACCUAAAUAGCUUGGCGUAAUCAUGGUCAUAGCUGUUUCUGUG